UACGUAGGUGGCAAGCGUUACUCGGAAUCACUAGGCGUAAAGCGCAGGUAGGAGGUUUGGUAAGUCUGUUGUGAAAGCUCCCGGCUUAACUGGGAGAGGUCAACGGAAACUACUAGGCUAGAGUGUGGUAGAGGUAGCUGGAAUUCCCGGUGUAGCGGUGAAAUGCGUAGAUAUCGGGAGGAAUACCUGUGGCGAAGGCGGCCUACUGGGCCGGACCUGACGCUGAGGAGCGAAAGUGUGGGGAGCGAACAGG
RNAcentral lists this ribosomal RNA (253 nucleotides) under uncultured bacterium. RNAcentral's name for it is "partial 16S ribosomal RNA". It matches the Rfam family "Bacterial small subunit ribosomal RNA", at positions 524 to 776 of the family's 1533-position model. The record is from RNAcentral.